CCUACGGGAGGCAGCAGUGAGGGAUAUUGGUCAAUGGGGGAAACUCUGAACCAGCAACGCCGCGUGAGGGAAGACGGUUUUCGGAUUGUAAACCUCCGUCCUCUGUGAAGAUAACGACGGUAGCAGAGGAGGAAUCUACGGCUAACUACGUGCCAGCAGCCGGGGCUACACGUAGGGAGCGAUCGUUGUCCGGAUUUACUGGGUGUAAAGGGUGCGUAGGCGGGUAAGCAAGUCAGAAGUGAAAUCCAUGGGCUUAACCCAUGAACUGCUUUUGAAACUGUUGAUCUGGAGUGAAGUAGAGGUAGGCGGAAUUCCCGGUGUAGCGGUGAAAUGCGUAGAGAUCGGGAGGAACACCAGUGGCGAAGGCGGCCUACUGGGCUUUAACUGACGCUGAAGCACGAAAGCGUGGGUAGCAAACAGGAUUAGAUACCCGAGUAGUC
This 440-nucleotide ribosomal RNA is filed under the name uncultured bacterium. RNAcentral's name for it is "partial 16S ribosomal RNA". It matches the Rfam family "Bacterial small subunit ribosomal RNA", at positions 338 to 795 of the family's 1533-position model. The record is from RNAcentral.